RNAcentral lists this ribosomal RNA (562 nucleotides) under uncultured bacterium. Its description in RNAcentral is "bacterial SSU rRNA". It matches the Rfam family "Bacterial small subunit ribosomal RNA", at positions 338 to 916 of the family's 1533-position model. The record is from RNAcentral.
CCUACGGGAGGCAGCAGUGGGGAAUCUUGCGCAAUGGGCGAAAGCCUGACGCAGCCAUGCCGCGUGAAUGAUGAAGGUCUUAGGAUUGUAAAAUUCUUUCACCGGGGACGAUAAUGACGGUACCCGGAGAAGAAGCCCCGGCUAACUUCGUGCCAGCAGCCGCGGUAAUACGAAGGGGGGCUAGCGUUGCUCGGAAUUACUGGGGCGUAAAGGGAGCGUAGGCGGAUAGUUUAGUCAGAGGUGAAAGCCCAGGGCUCAACCUUGGAAUUGCCUUUGAUACUGGCUAUCUUGAGUGUGGGAGAGGUUAGCGGAACUCCGAGUGUAGAGGUGAAAUUCGUAGAUAUUCGGAAGAACACCAGUGGCGAAGGCGGCUAACUGGCCCAUUACUGACGCUGAGGCUCGAAAGCGUGGGGAGCAAACAGGAUUAGAUACCCUGGUAGUCCACGCCGUAAACGAUGAGUGCUAGUUGUCGGCAUGCAUGCAUGUCGGUGACGCAGCUAACGCAUUAAGCACUCCGCCUGGGGAGUACGGUCGCAAGAUUAAAACUCAAAGGAAUUGACGG